AUUGAACGCUGGCGGCAGGCCUAACACAUGCAAGUCGAACGGCAGCACGGGUGCUUGCACCUGGUGGCGAGUGGCGAACGGGUGAGUAAUACAUCGGAACGUGCCCAAUCGUGGGGGAUAACGUAGCGAAAGUUACGCUAAUACCGCAUACGAUCUACGGAUGAAAGCGGGGAUCGCAAGACCUCGCGCGAAUGGAGCGGCCGAUGUCAGAUUAGGUAGUUGGUGGGGUAAAGGCUCACCAAGCCAAUGAUCUGUAGCUGGUCUGAGAGGACGACCAGCCACACUGGAACUGAGACACGGUCCAGACUCCUACGGGAGGCAGCAGUAAGGAAUAUUGGACAAUGGACGCAAGUCUGAUCCAGCCAUGCCGCGUGAAGGAUUAAGGUCCUCUGGAUUGU
RNAcentral lists this ribosomal RNA (398 nucleotides) under uncultured bacterium. RNAcentral's name for it is "bacterial SSU rRNA". It matches the Rfam family "Bacterial small subunit ribosomal RNA", at positions 30 to 426 of the family's 1533-position model. The record is from RNAcentral.